AUACUUACCUGGCAGGGGAGAUACCAUGAUCACGAAGGUGACUUUCCCUGGACGAGGCUUAUCCAUUGCACUCUGGAUGUGUUGACCCCUGCAAGUUCCCCAAAUAUGGGAAACUCGACUGCAUAAUUUGUGGUAGUGGGGGACAGUGUUCGCAAUUUCCCCUG
RNAcentral lists this small nuclear RNA (164 nucleotides) under Saimiri boliviensis boliviensis (Bolivian squirrel monkey). RNAcentral describes it as "U1 spliceosomal RNA (ENSSBOG00000017834.1)". It matches the Rfam family "U1 spliceosomal RNA". Rfam says of the family: U1 is a small nuclear RNA (snRNA) component of the spliceosome (involved in pre-mRNA splicing). Its 5' end forms complementary base pairs with the 5' splice junction, thus defining the 5' donor site of an intron. There are significant differences in sequence and secondary structure between metazoan and yeast U1 snRNAs, the latter being much longer (568 nucleotides as compared to 164 nucleotides in human). Lineage: Eukaryota; Metazoa; Chordata; Mammalia; Primates; Cebidae. The record is from Rfam by way of RNAcentral.